RNAcentral lists this ribosomal RNA (243 nucleotides) under uncultured eukaryote. RNAcentral's name for it is "partial large subunit ribosomal RNA". It matches the Rfam family "Eukaryotic large subunit ribosomal RNA", at positions 40 to 286 of the family's 3401-position model. The record is from RNAcentral.
AUAUCAAUAAGCGGAGGAAAAGAAACCAACAGGGAUUACCUCAGUAACGGCGAGUGAAGCGGUAACAGCUCAAAUUUGAAAGCUGCCAACAGGCCGCGUUGUAAUUUGUAGAAGAUGCUUUGGGGAUCGGCCUGGUCUAAGUUCCUUGGAACAGGACGUCAUAGAGGGUGAGAAUCCCGUACGUGACCGGUGCCGGCACCCGUGUAAAGCUCUUUCGACGAGUCGAGUCGUUGGGAUUGGGAU